UCUAAUUUGCUAAUGGCUUCUUUGCAAUCCAAAGUGAUUGGAAAUGGACCAGUGUGAAAACUGAAAAGGACUUUAGUCUGAGGCUUAUUCACUGAAGAAAAUACUCAUAAUGUUACCAAAGUAUAUGUAGAUCUACAUGUAAUCACUUUCAGAUGUUCUUAAAAUGAAAACAUCAAGAUUUGAAAUCAUAAUGCAUGGACUCUAAUUGUGUAGCAUUACAAGAAAGGUGUCUCAAAUCUUGACGUCCAUGAGCAUCAAGGAAUGUUAGUAGAAUAUGCCAUCAAUAGCAAGAGAGCUAUAGCUCCGUUGGAAUCAUAAG
Molecule: long non-coding RNA, 319 nt
Organism: Amphimedon queenslandica
Lineage: Eukaryota; Metazoa; Porifera; Demospongiae; Haplosclerida; Niphatidae
Exons: 3
Source: RefSeq, a predicted model, not a curated record